RNAcentral lists this ribosomal RNA (1362 nucleotides) under uncultured organism. RNAcentral's name for it is "16S ribosomal RNA". It matches the Rfam family "Bacterial small subunit ribosomal RNA", at positions 28 to 1397 of the family's 1533-position model. The record is from RNAcentral.
GACGAACGCUGGCGGCGUGCUUAACACAUGCAAGUCGAACGGAAAGGCCCUGCUUUUGUGGGGUGCUCGAGUGGCGAACGGGUGAGUAACACGUGAGUAACCUGCCCUUGACUUUGGGAUAACUUCAGGAAACUGGGGCUAAUACCGGAUAGGAGCUCCUGCUGCAUGGUGGGGGUUGGAAAGUUUCGGCGGUUGGGGAUGGACUCGCGGCUUAUCAGCUUGUUGGUGGGGUAGUGGCUUACCAAGGCUUUGACGGGUAGCCGGCCUGAGAGGGUGACCGGCCACAUUGGGACUGAGAUACGGCCCAGACUCCUACGGGAGGCAGCAGUGGGGAAUAUUGCACAAUGGGCGGAAGCCUGAUGCAGCAACGCCGCGUGCGGGAUGACGGCCUUCGGGUUGUAAACCGCUUUCGCCUGUGACGAAGCGUGAGUGACGGUAAUGGGUAAAGAAGCACCGGCUAACUACGUGCCAGCAGCCGCGGUGAUACGUAGGGUGCGAGCGUUGUCCGGAUUUAUUGGGCGUAAAGGGCUCGUAGGUGGUUGAUCGCGUCGGAAGUGUAAUCUUGGGGCUUAACCCUGAGCGUGCUUUCGAUACGGGUUGACUUGAGGAAGGUAGGGGAGAAUGGAAUUCCUGGUGGAGCGGUGGAAUGCGCAGAUAUCAGGAGGAACACCAGUGGCGAAGGCGGUUCUCUGGGCCUUUCCUGACGCUGAGGAGCGAAAGCGUGGGGAGCGAACAGGCUUAGAUACCCUGGUAGUCCACGCUGUAAACGGUGGGUACUAGGUGUGGGGUCCAUUCCACGGGUUCCGUGCCGUAGCUAACGCUUUAAGUACCCCGCCUGGGGAGUACGGCCGCAUGGCUAAAACUCAAAGGAAUUGACGGGGCCCCGCACAAGCGGCGGAGCAUGCGGAUUAAUUCGAUGCAACGCGUAGAACCUUACCUGGGUUUGACAUGGAUCGGGAGUGCUCAGAGAUGGGUGUGCCUCUUUUGGGGUCGGUUCACAGGUGGUGCAUGGCUGUCGUCAGCUCGUGUCGUGAGAUGUUGGGUUAAGUCCCGCAACGAGCGCAACCCUUGUUCACUGUUGCCAGCACGUUAUGGUGGGGACUCAGUGGAGACCGCCGGGGUCAACUCGGAGGAAGGUGGGGAUGACGUCAAGUCAUCAUGCCCCUUAUGUCCAGGGCUUCACGCAUGCUACAAUGGCUGGUACAGAGAGUGGCGAGCCUGUGAGGGUGAGCGAAUCUCGGAAAGCCGGUCUCAGUUCGGAUUGGGGUCUGCAACUCGACCUCAUGAAGUCGGAGUCGCUAGUAAUCGCAGAUCAGCAACGCUGCGGUGAAUACGUUCCCGGGGCUUGUACACACCGCCCGU